GAUGAACGCUGGCGGCGUGCCUAAUACAUGCAAGUCGAGCGAACGGACGAGAAGCUUGCUUCUCUGAUGUUAGCGGCGGACGGGUGAGUAACACGUGGAUAACCUACCUAUAAGACUGGGAUAACUUCGGGAAACCGGAGCUAAUACCGGAUAAUAUUUUGAACCGCAUGGUUCAAAAGUGAAAGACGGCCUUGCUGUCACUUAUAGAUGGAUCCGCGCUGCAUUAGCUAGUUGGUAAGGUAACGGCUUACCAAGGCAACGAUGCAUAGCCGACCUGAGAGGGUGAUCGGCCACACUGGAACUGAGACACGGUCCAGACUCCUACGGGAGGCAGCAGUAGGGAAUCUUCCGCAAUGGGCGAGAGCCUGACGGAGCAACGCCGCGUGAGUGAUGAAGGUCUUCGGAUCGUAAAACUCUGUUAUUAGGGAAGAACAUAUGUGUAAGUAACUGUGCACAUCUUGACGGUACCUAAUCAGAAAGCCACGGCUAACUACGUG
RNAcentral lists this ribosomal RNA (497 nucleotides) under uncultured bacterium. RNAcentral describes it as "partial 16S ribosomal RNA". It matches the Rfam family "Bacterial small subunit ribosomal RNA", at positions 28 to 507 of the family's 1533-position model. The record is from RNAcentral.